RNAcentral lists this small nuclear RNA (106 nucleotides) under Aotus nancymaae (Ma's night monkey). Lineage: Eukaryota; Metazoa; Chordata; Mammalia; Primates; Aotidae. The record is from RNAcentral.
GUGCUCACUUCAGCAGCGCAGCUACUAAAACUGGAACAUACAGAGAAGAGGAGCGUGGUCCCUGCAUAAGGAUGACACGGAAAUUAAUGAGGCAUUCCAUAUUUUU